GGGUAGAUGUUCUUUGUUGAUUACGAAGUCUUAAUGUGGACUAGCUUCAGAAGCUUCUCAGAGCCAAACCGUCAUCUCUUUGCCUUUCUGCUACGAAGACCACACUCCCAUCCAGGCCACCCACCAGGUUCCAUUUGGUGGAACCCCCACCAAGGACACCUUUAGCUGUUGAUUGCUUUAUAGAAUAACCGGGCUGGAUGACAGCCCUGAGCAGUUUGCCAGUGUGGUCUAGUUUUCUAGGUUUCCCUGGUGAGUCAACAGGAAUGUAUCUACUUGUCUCUGGGAAUUGCAGUUCUACAUCAUCACCUAAAGUCUUCCAGAUUUUCCUGAAGAGAGGCAAAUCUGCAACGAGACGAGAAAUCAGUGAUAGGAAGAAAACUGUAAAGGUGUAAAACACAACUGAAAGCUGACUGUUGAAUUAACAUCGUGGUGAACAAGUGAACAGGACAGAAAGGGCUCCAAAUCUCCAGGAGCUGGUGAUCAACCAGGAAAGGGAAACAUUGACCGGACGGGAAAGCCACGAUUCACAGAUCUUGGAUGUGAGUCAUGGAAAUGAACCUGAACUGAGAGUUGCUUUCCAAAGACUAUCUCACCACUGGGAUUCAGGCUGAACAAAGGAGUUAGAUUCAAGUCCUUUCUCCUGAACUGUGCUGACCACACCUUUCAUACCAAGAUACGUUGAUUGCACCCAGAGACCAAAGGACACCGUGAUUUGAUCCCCUGAGCUGAAUGCU
Molecule: long non-coding RNA, 734 nt
Filed under: Mus musculus (house mouse)
Lineage: Eukaryota; Metazoa; Chordata; Mammalia; Rodentia; Muridae
Description: predicted gene 12610
Source: RNAcentral